UGAAUGACUCUCGGCAACGGACAUCUCGGCUCUUGCAUCGAUGAAGAACGUAGCGAAAUGCGAUACUUGGUGUGAAUUGCAGAAUCCCGUGAACCAUCGAGUCUUUGAACGCAAGUUGCGCCCGAGGCCACUAGGUUGAGGGCACGUCUGCCUGGGCGUCACAC
Molecule: ribosomal RNA, 164 nt
Filed under: Caltha leptosepala
Lineage: Eukaryota; Viridiplantae; Streptophyta; Magnoliopsida; Ranunculales; Ranunculaceae
Description: 5.8S ribosomal RNA
Rfam family: 5.8S ribosomal RNA
About the family: 5.8S ribosomal RNA (5.8S rRNA) is a component of the large subunit of the eukaryotic ribosome.
Source: RNAcentral